Molecule: ribosomal RNA, 253 nt
Filed under: uncultured bacterium
Lineage: Bacteria
Description: partial 16S ribosomal RNA
Rfam family: Bacterial small subunit ribosomal RNA
Source: RNAcentral
UACGAAGGGGGCUAGCGUUGCUCGGAAUCACUGGGCGUAAAGCGCACGUAGGCGGAUCUUUAAGUCAGGGGUGAAAUCCCAAGGCUCAACCUUGGAACUGCCUUUGAUACUGGGGAUCUCGAGUCCGGAAGAGGUGAGUGGAACUGCGAGUGUAGAGGUGAAAUUCGUAGAUAUUCGCAAGAACACCAGUGGCGAAGGCGGCUCACUGGUCCGGUACUGACGCUGAGGUGCGAAAACGUGGGGAGCAAACAGG